RNAcentral lists this long non-coding RNA (1052 nucleotides) under Ursus maritimus (polar bear). RNAcentral describes it as "lncRNA (ENSUMAG00000024082.1)". The record is from RNAcentral. Lineage: Eukaryota; Metazoa; Chordata; Mammalia; Carnivora; Ursidae.
GCGCAGGAGGAGGACCCAGAAGCGGGCUCUGCCUGGGCUUGCCUGGGCUUGUUCAGAGCCGGGCUGCUUUCCUCAAUGACCGCGCAGAUCCGGGGGUAUUUCGAGAUUUUGCGGGAGCCCUGCAGCCAAGCCCCGGGGAGGAGGGGGCUGGAAGCCCGCGCGACAUGCUCGCCCCGCGCCACGGUGAGCGCAGGGCAGGCACAGGUGGCUCCUGAAAUUCGGGAGAAACAGGGGUGCUGGCUGCCCCUCUGGGAAAGCUGGUUCCCCUUGACCUGGACUGACGAUUUGAGGCUGAAAACAUCCAAGUAAGUCUUUCGUGGCCUUGUCCCUGAGGUCUCGCACUCUUUUAUUUUAUUUUAUUUUAUUUUAUUUUAUUUUAUUUUUUUACCUUGUAUUUAGGCUGCUUUAUUUUUAUUUCUUUAAAUUUUACUUGGUCAACAUACAGUGCAGUAUUGGUUUCUGGAGUAGAAUUCAGUGAUUCAUCACUUAAAUACAACACCCAGUGCUCAUCCCGACAAGUGCCCUCCUUAAUCCCCGUCGCCCAUCUAGCUCCUCCCCCACACCCCUCCCUCCAGCAACCCUCAGUCUGUUCUCUGUCAUUUCCCUCUCCUCCCCCCUUAUAUAUGGUUACCUGUUUUCUUUCUUAAGUUCCAUAUGUGAGUGAGAUCAUAUGGUAUUUGUUUUUCUCUGACUUAUUUCACUUAGCAUAAUACACUCUAGCUCCACCCACGUCGUUGCAAGUGGCAAGAUUUCAUUCUUGUUGAUGGCUGAGUAAUAUUCCACUGUCUAUAUCUAUAUACCACAUUUUCUUUAUCCUUUCAUCAGUUGUGGACAUUCGGGCCCUCUCCAUAGUUUGGCUAUUGUUGAUAAUGCUACUAUAUACAUUGGGGUCCAUGUGUCCCUUUGAAUCUGUAUUUUUUAUCCUUUGGUUAGAUACCUAGUAGUACAAUUGCUGAGUCCUAGGGAAGCUCUAUUUUUAACUUUUUGAGGAACCUCCAUAUUGUUCCCCAGAGUGGCUGCACCAGUUUGCAUUCCCACCAACAGUGUAAGAG